RNAcentral lists this ribosomal RNA (263 nucleotides) under uncultured bacterium. RNAcentral describes it as "partial 16S ribosomal RNA". It matches the Rfam family "Bacterial small subunit ribosomal RNA", at positions 57 to 305 of the family's 1533-position model. The record is from RNAcentral.
GCAAGUCGAACGAGAAAGGAUUCUUCGGAAUCCGAGUAAAGUGGCGCACGGGUGAGUAACGCGUAGAUAAUCUAUCUUAAUGUUUGGGAUAACCCUUCGAAAGGGGGACUAAUACCGGAUAUAUUUGUACCUGUCGGGGUACUAAGGAAAGGUGGCCUCUAUUUAUAAGCUAUCGCAUUAUGAGGAGUCUGCGUACCAUUAGCUAGUUGGUGAGGUAAGAGCUUACCAAGGCUACGAUGGUUAGCGGGUCUGAGAGGAUGAUC